RNAcentral lists this ribosomal RNA (485 nucleotides) under uncultured bacterium. Its description in RNAcentral is "partial 16S ribosomal RNA". It matches the Rfam family "Bacterial small subunit ribosomal RNA", at positions 29 to 506 of the family's 1533-position model. The record is from RNAcentral.
AUUGAACGCUGGCGGCAUGCUUUACACAUGCAAGUCGAGCGGCAGCGCGGGGGCAACCCUGGCGGCGAGCGGCGAACGGGUGAGUAAUGCAUCGGAACGUAUCCUCGAGUGGGGGAUAACCCAGCGAUAGUUGGGCUAAUACCGCAUGAGCUCUGAGGAGGAAAGCGGGGGACCUGCGAGGGCCUCGCGCUGGAGGAGCGGCCGAUGUCCGAUUAGCUAGUUGGUGGGGUAAAGGCUUACCAAGGCGACGAUCGGUAGCUGGUCUGAGAGGAUGAUCAGCCACACUGGGACUGAGACACGGCCCAGACUCCUACGGGAGGCAGCAGUGGGGAAUUUUGGACAAUGGGGGCAACCCUGAUCCAGCCAUGCCGCGUGAGUGAAGAAGGCCUUCGGGUUGUAAAGCUCUUUCGGACGGAACGAAAUGGGCGGGACUAAUACUCCUGUCUGAUGACGGUACCGUAAGAAGAAGCACCGGCUAACUACGU